RNAcentral lists this ribosomal RNA (253 nucleotides) under uncultured bacterium. RNAcentral's name for it is "partial 16S ribosomal RNA". It matches the Rfam family "Bacterial small subunit ribosomal RNA", at positions 524 to 776 of the family's 1533-position model. The record is from RNAcentral.
UACGUAGGGUCCAAGCGUUAAUCGGAAUUACUGGGCGUAAAGCGUGCGCAGGUGGCCCGUUAAGAGUGAUGUGAAAUCCCCGAGCUCAACUUGGGAAUUGCAUUGCUAACUGGCGGGCUAGAGUACGGGAGAGGGGGGUGGAAUUCCACGUGUAGCAGUGAAAUGCGUAGAGAUGUGGAGGAACACCGAUGGCGAAGGCAGCCCCCUGGCCUGCUACUGACACUCAUGCACGAAAGCGUGGGGAGCAAACAGG